UCGUCAUCAGAGGAGAAAAAGUACAUCAUUUUAUUUGAUUGAAUCAUAUAAUAUAAUUAAUAAAAAAAUAAAUAUUUAAUAUAACUUAAUUUUUUCUCAAUUUUUUUGAUUAAAAUAUUAUUUUAUUUUAUUUUAUUCAUGCUUGACUAAGAUAUUAAUAACAGAAUAUCAUGACCAUCAACAAAAUAUUAUAAAAAAUAAUAAAAUAUCAU
RNAcentral lists this long non-coding RNA (212 nucleotides) under Elaeis guineensis (African oil palm). Its description in RNAcentral is "long non-coding RNA (EGUI_LNC010871)". Lineage: Eukaryota; Viridiplantae; Streptophyta; Magnoliopsida; Arecales; Arecaceae. The record is from RNAcentral.